Molecule: unclassified non-coding RNA, 147 nt
Filed under: uncultured Helotiales
Lineage: Eukaryota; Fungi; Ascomycota; Leotiomycetes; Helotiales
Description: sequence contains ITS2
Source: RNAcentral
CAACCCUCAAGCUCUGCUUGGUCUUGGGCCCUGCCGGCAACGGCUGGCCUUAAAUUUAGUGGCGGUGCCAUUGAGCUCUACGCGUAGUAAUUUACAUCUCGCUUCUGAGUCUCGGUGGACGCUUGCCAGCAACCCCCAAUUUUCUAU